CAGUAGCCGCGGGAAUACAGAGGGUGCGAGCGUUAAUCUGAUUUACUGGGCGUAAAGCGUGCGUAGGCGGCUUCUUAAGUCGGAUGUGAAAUCCCUGAGCUUAACUUAGGAAUUGCAUUCGAUACUGGGAAGCUAGAGUAUGGGAGAGGAUGGUAGAAUUCCAGGUGUAGCGGUGAAAUGCGUAGAGAUCUGGAGGAAUACCGAUGGCGAAGGCAGCCAUCUGGCCUAAUACUGACGCUGAGGUACGAAAGCAUGGGGAGCAAACAGGAUUAGAUACCCCAGUAGUCCCUGUCUCUUAUAC
RNAcentral lists this ribosomal RNA (301 nucleotides) under uncultured bacterium. Its description in RNAcentral is "partial 16S ribosomal RNA". It matches the Rfam family "Bacterial small subunit ribosomal RNA", at positions 509 to 807 of the family's 1533-position model. The record is from RNAcentral.